This 1381-nucleotide long non-coding RNA is filed under the name Equus caballus (horse). Its description in RNAcentral is "lncRNA (ENSECAG00000055224.1)". The record is from RNAcentral. Lineage: Eukaryota; Metazoa; Chordata; Mammalia; Perissodactyla; Equidae.
GAAGGAGAUAGGAUCAUGAACAAGGAUUGGUCUUGAACAGGAAAAAGCACACCUCUUCCUCAUAAACUGGAGGAGAGGAGAUAAGAGUGAGUGCGUUUGAAGCUCAACUUGUUGUGGACAAAAAGCCAAGGGGAUUCACACUCUAUAAACCUGCUCCUUCAUCACAGGAGAGGCACAACCAUCAGCUGAGAGGAAAGGAGUCAGGGUGGAACAUGGAUGGCUGCUGUAGAAAGUGGGAGAGGAGGAGGAACAGAAACAGAAAGGAAAGAGGAACCAGCAGAGACAUUUGAGAGAGAAUGGCUAUAGAAGUGGGAAGAAAACUGCAUUGCCAUAGAAGCCGUGGGUUCUCCUUGGAGCCGCUAAAAUUCUUGACAGCUCUGCAACGAGAAAUCUCCAGACAAAUGGAAACCAGGAGUUCCCAUCUCAGAAGUGGAACAGAAAAAAAAUGGAAAAAAUAUGUUAAGCUGAUUUCUGUGGUCCUCAUACACCUUCAAGUUAUAGGGACAAAAUACUGACUGAGGAUUAGCUUCAUUUUUCUUUCUGCUUUGGGAUCUGUUGUUAAUUUAGUGAAAUACAUAUUUCUGCCAGGCAAGACCCAGGUAAAGCUUAGGUCAAGUUACAAACCCAAGCCUUUUAUCACACUCUGACAGCAGGAAAAACCACGUCUGGAAAAUGUCAUUAUCAGGAAAAAACUGUGUUUUGCUUUGAGUCCUUGGCUUGAGGUUUUCUUUACAUUUUAAAAUUCCACUAAGGAGCUAAAAAGUUAGUAGCUAACAACUACUAAAGUAAUUAAAUUGUGUAGAGGCCAAAAUAAAUAAAAUCCAUUAAUUAGUAGGACUGCAUUACAUUCUAUGACUUUGUCCAAAUAUUUUUGUAAGAACAGAUUCUCAAACUCUCGAUAUGAAAUCAGUAGAUCUUUGGAACAGAGCAACGUUCCUAUUUUGUUGCUGUUUUAUAUAUUUUGGAGAAAGUAAUUGAAUUUACCUGAAUCUCAAUUUAUUCAUAUAUAAAAUAGAGACAAUAUGAAUUAUCUUGUAAAUGUGAAGAUUCGCAUCCUUUUUGGGCACUUAGACAACAGACAUUUCACCCUCGUCUUCAUAGAGCUUUGCAUAUUCAAAAGGCAAUGUUACUAAAACAGCAUUUCCAUCUCUCAAGCAUAGAAAAACUUUGACACUCAGAGAUUAGCUAUAGGUUUGAAAUAGAGCAUCUGCGGAAAAUCUAUAAUUAUAACCAGGCCACAAAAAGAUGAGGUGGAAUACACAAACAGACUCUUAAUGUUGGUCACUUUAAGCAAAGGUGGGACAAGUUGGAAGAUAUGAAUAUUAUUUUAUUGCAUUUGUUAUCACCCUGAAAAUGUCUUGCGAUUCGUAAAUUUUGGAAG